GAUGAACGCUGGCGGCGUGCCUAAUACAUGCAAGUCGAGCGAACAGACGAGGAGCUUGCUCCUCUGACGUUAGCGGCGGACGGGUGAGUAACACGUGGAUAACCUACCUAUAAGACUGGGAUAACUUCGGGAAACCGGAGCUAAUACCGGAUAAUAUAUUGAACCGCAUGGUUCAAUAGUGAAAGACGGUUUUGCUGUCACUUAUAGAUGGAUCCGCUCCGCAUUAGCUAGUUGGUAAGGUAACGGCUUACCAAGGCGACGAUGCGUAGCCGACCUGAGAGGGUGAUCGGCCACACUGGAACUGAGACACGGUCCAGACUCCUACGGGAGGCAGCAGUAGGGAAUCUUCCGCAAUGGGCGAAAGCCUGACGGAGCAACGCCGCGUGAGUGAUGAAGGUCUUCGGAUCGUAAAACUCUGUUAUUAGGGAAGAACAAAUGUGUAAGUAACUAUGCACGUCUUGACGGUACCUAAUCAGAAAGCCACGGCUAACUACGUG
Molecule: ribosomal RNA, 497 nt
Filed under: uncultured bacterium
Lineage: Bacteria
Description: partial 16S ribosomal RNA
Rfam family: Bacterial small subunit ribosomal RNA
Source: RNAcentral